GAUACGGAAGUGACUCUUUACAUGCAGAAGGUCAUUUAUCUCAAACCUGAACUGCACAAGCUAAGGUCUAUUCAGGACGAGAUCUACCUGCCAGGAAAUGGGAGAAGCUGAAGCUGCUUCAUCAGUGCCAUUUCCAUACUGCGUUUGAUCUCAGGAAAAGGUCUGCAUUGAUGAAUUAGUGCAACAACACUAUCAGCCAUAAAAGAAUACAUCUAAUGAGAAAAUCCAGCGGUGACUUCUAGGCUGGAUUGGUUAUCCCUCACCCACAGUGUUACCUCGAGAACUCCCAUGUGCUCACCACAGCACUGAAGCAAAACUGGGCCUGGAUUCUGAAGAAAAGAGCCAGAACAAGGUGCUAGAUCUCCUUCCAUAAGUUUCCCAACAGAGAUUUACCUGGCCAGAGUUAGAUGGCUGCUCUUCAAGGAGAAUGCCCUUCCCAUCCCACGAAAUGCUCUUGACACUUCACCCUGCUUGUACCUACUUGUUUCCGCCUGCGACUGGAACCAAUGUGAAACCUCAGGAUCUGGUCUCCUCGCUGUAAGAUGAAAAAGCACAGGCUGUAUGAGGCAAAAAUAAGAGGUAGAGAUGGACAUCAGGUGAUUCCUGGUGAUUUUCAGACCUGUAAGUUCUAUUACACCAUCUAGUUACCCGCCUCCUGUAAGAAGCAAUACGUGAUAGUGAGCCAGCACUUUUAAAUGGUUCCAGAAUACCAUUUCCCUCCCCAAUUCUGUUUUUCUGACAUCAGACUGUACCUGAGUGUUGGUUCAUUGGUUCUGUCCCUCACAGUGGCACCCAAAGGUCCCUUUCCAAAAGGCAACUUACUUCUCCCUUGCCCUUUGCUUCCUAAAUCAAGAAUAAAUAAAGAAGAGAAGAAUGUGGCAACACCAUUUUAGAUGUGCUGCCAGCACAUCUGAAAUGGGCUGGAUGUAUUGUCAGAAAAAACAUCGAUAGCUGAAAAGCGCUGCAGAGAAAUUAAAUACAUGGGAGGAUUGUGAGCAAUACAAGAGAGACAUGCUGCUAUUGAUAAGUCAAAAACACUGUUUGUUUGUUCCCCAGCACUCUCAGUAUUAAAAGAGUCAUUUGCAACGUCUCAGCUUGCUAUUGUGUAUUCCUGGUACCUGACCUUCUCAGUCUGGCUGUUGUGCAUCUGUUAGCCUGUGACCUUCCCACUGCAUGGAUCAGAUAUUGAGAAGGCAGGGGAGAAGGAAGAGCAGAGGAAGGCAGGUAGGGAAAUAAAUAACUGAAUCAUU
Molecule: long non-coding RNA, 1250 nt
Organism: Cygnus atratus (black swan)
Lineage: Eukaryota; Metazoa; Chordata; Aves; Anseriformes; Anatidae
Exons: 3
Source: RefSeq, a predicted model, not a curated record